This 124-nucleotide small nuclear RNA is filed under the name Bison bison bison. RNAcentral describes it as "U2 spliceosomal RNA". It matches the Rfam family "U2 spliceosomal RNA". From Rfam's summary of the family: U2 is a small nuclear RNA (snRNA) component of the spliceosome (involved in pre-mRNA splicing). Complementary binding between U2 snRNA (in an area lying towards the 5' end but 3' to hairpin I) and the branchpoint sequence (BPS) of the intron results the bulging out of an unpaired adenosine, on the BPS, which initiates a nucleophilic attack at the intronic 5' splice site, thus starting the first of two transesterification reactions that mediate splicing. The record is from Rfam by way of RNAcentral. Lineage: Eukaryota; Metazoa; Chordata; Mammalia; Artiodactyla; Bovidae.
AUCACUUCUUGGCCUUUUGGCUAAGAUCAAGUGUAAAUUUUAGAAUAAGCUUGCUUAUGCCAAAAAAAGCCUUGCUGAGAAUUUGAUAGGAAUUGCAUUAAAUCUAUCAAUCAGUUUAAGAAGA